Chroicocephalus ridibundus (black-headed gull) is the source of this 934-nucleotide long non-coding RNA. RefSeq lists it as uncharacterized. Lineage: Eukaryota; Metazoa; Chordata; Aves; Charadriiformes; Laridae. The transcript is spliced from 5 exons. The record is from RefSeq and is a predicted model, not a curated record.
GAAGUGUUUUUAGUUUUCCCUUCAGUGCCUGAAAAUGAAGACAUGAAUGCUGGGGGAGAAAGGGAUGAAUGUAUGGAAAAAAGAAAAAGAAACCCAUCGAGUAUAAGCGUUCUUACUUAGCAUACUGAAGUCUUCAGCCUUGGGGUUCAGGGUGCUGGCAAGGAAGCAGAGGAUGUCUAAGUUUGUGCAGCAACAGCCUAAUGUGGCAAGCGAGCAGCUGCCUGCAUGGGGCGGAAUACCACUUUGUGCCUGCAAAAUGGAUGAUCAGAAACAAACCAACUGCAAAACAUGCUGGACUCAUUAAAUUCAGGAGACUUCCCAGCCAUAGAUUUUGUUGUUGACUGGCUUUUAUCUUCGUCAGUACUGGCUGCUUUCAAUUCACAGUUCCAAUGCAAGAUAAAAAUAAAAAGGUACCUGAAAACUUGGUUCCCCCAUCCAAGGUUUUGUCACCAACUUAGACUGAGUGUUCAAGGACAGGGCCCACAAGGGCUUAUAGGUGUGCUUAUUGAUUCAGUUCUGCAAUAAAAAUAAUAAGCAUUAAACAACGGAAUGGUUGCAAUCGUAAUGGAAAACUACAGAACUGGAGAGGAUCCUACAAAACAAGCAGAAAAAGAAGUGGAAACUCAAGAAGCAGAAUAAACAAAAAAAAGGACACUGAAACGAAGAAAAAAUUUCAAGAGAAAAAUGUAAACAGGAACAGAUGGGAAGGAACAAAACUAGAAGGCAGAGAAAUUUUGCAGAAAAAUAUAUGAAAGGAGGAGACAGAGCAAGAGAAAUGCUCAAAGAUGGAACAAACAAAAAAAUACAGAGUUCUGGCACUCAUUAUUCAGACAAAAUUUUCUGCUACCUUUCCCGUGAAAGGUUAGGAAUCUGCCUUUGGACUCUUCAUGCAGACAAAAUUAAUGAACUACGCUUCAGGAAGGUAAAUGCAUGU